Molecule: ribosomal RNA, 1458 nt
Filed under: Cyanodictyon sp. JJCD
Lineage: Bacteria; Bacillati; Cyanobacteriota; Cyanophyceae; Nodosilineales; Cymatolegaceae
Description: bacterial SSU rRNA
Rfam family: Bacterial small subunit ribosomal RNA
Source: RNAcentral
GAUGAACGCUGGCGGCGUGCUUAACACAUGCAAGUCGAACGAACCUUCGGGUUAGUGGCGGACGGGUGAGUAACGCGUGGGAAUCUGCCCUCAGGAGGGGGAUAACGGCCGGAAACGGCCGCUAAUACCCCAUAUGCCGAGAGGUGAAAUGAAAUUCGCCUGAGGAUGAGCCCGCGUCUGAUUAGCUAGUUGGUGUGGUAAUGGCGCACCAAGGCUUCGAUCAGUAGCUGGUCUGAGAGGAUGAUCAGCCACACUGGGACUGAGACACGGCCCAGACUCCUACGGGAGGCAGCAGUGGGGAAUUUUCCGCAAUGGGCGAAAGCCUGACGGAGCAACGCCGCGUGAGGGAUGAAGGCCUCUGGGCUGUAAACCUCUUUUCUCAAGGAAGAAGAACUGACGGUACUUGAGGAAUAAGCCACGGCUAAUUCCGUGCCAGCAGCCGCGGUAAUACGGGAGUGGCAAGCGUUAUCCGGAAUUAUUGGGCGUAAAGCGUCCGCAGGCGGCCUUGUAAGUCUGUCGUUAAAGCGUGGAGCUUAACUCCAUUUCAGCGGUGGAAACUACAAGGCUUGAGUGUGGUAGGGGCAGAGGGAAUUCCCGGUGUAGCGGUGAAAUGCGUAGAUAUCGGGAAGAACACCAGUGGCGAAGGCGCUCUGCUGGGCCAUAACUGACGCUCAUGGACGAAAGCCAGGGGAGCGAAAGGGAUUAGAUACCCCUGUAGUCCUGGCCGUAAACGAUGAACACUAGGUGUCGGGGGAAUCGACCCCCUCGGUGUCGUAGCUAACGCGUUAAGUGUUCCGCCUGGGGAGUACGCACGCAAGUGUGAAACUCAAAGGAAUUGACGGGGGCCCGCACAAGCGGUGGAGUAUGUGGUUUAAUUCGAUGCAACGCGAAGAACCUUACCAGGGUUUGACAUCCUGCGAAUCCCUUGGAAACGAGGGAGUGCCUUCGGGAACGCAGAGACAGGUGGUGCAUGGCUGUCGUCAGCUCGUGUCGUGAGAUGUUGGGUUAAGUCCCGCAACGAGCGCAACCCACGUCUUUAGUUGCCAGCAUUCAGUUGGGCACUCUAGAGAGACCGCCGGUGAUAAACCGGAGGAAGGUGUGGAUGACGUCAAGUCAUCAUGCCCCUUACAUCCUGGGCUACACACGUACUACAAUGCUACGGACAAAGGGCAGCAAGCUCGCGAGAGUUAGCAAAUCCCAUAAACCGUGGCUCAGUUCAGAUCGUAGGCUGCAACUCGCCUACGUGAAGGAGGAAUCGCUAGUAAUCGCAGGUCAGCAUACUGCGGUGAAUACGUUCCCGGGCCUUGUACACACCGCCCGUCACACCAUGGAAGUUGGCCACGCCCGAAGUCGUUACUCCAACCCUUGUGGAGGAGGACGCCGAAGGUGGGGCUGAUGACUGGGGUGAAGUCGUAACAAGGUAGCCGUACCGGAAGGUGCGGCUGGAUCACCUCCUAA